UAUACUGACCGAAAAUUAAUCGCAAAAUUAGAAUAUUGUCUGGAAAAUAAAUACACCGUUUAGAAAAUCAAUACAAUAGAUGGAAAAAAAUCAGUAGUGUAUUUAAAAAAAAAAUAUAAAAGAGAAAUACAACUGAACAUAAAAAAAAACAAUAAAAAAAUCAAGUGCAAAAUGAAAAAAAGUGAAGAAAAGUAUAAAAUAGAAAAAAAAAAAAAAAAAAAUCCUAAAUUACUGACGACUGUAUGUAAAAAAGGAAACAAAUAAUGAGGGGGAAAAAAAAAUGUGAGCUCGUAAGUAAAAGAAGAGAAAAAAAUAUGGAAGGAAAAUUAAGACGAAGGGAAAAUGAAGGCACGAAAUUACUGCUGAGUCGGAAGAAGAAGAAGAGGAGGAAGAGAAGGAGGAAAAAGAGGAGGAAGAGGAAGAAGACGACGACCUACUUUAGUUUCUUCUUCAUCUCCAGCCUCAAAACGCCACCUAUGAUGACUCUGGCUGCGCUGUGCUUACCUGGGAAAGUAAUUUGGACAAGGUUCUCCGGACUUUGAAGGCUUCAGGAUCCCCGACACUGGGAACCUUUGCGUCCUCUCACGCUGUCUUCUCGCAACAAACGAAGCCUCACAGUGACAACUGCGGGUAUUUGGUAAAUUUUGUGCGUGUUUGUAUGUGUGUGUGUGUGUGUGUGUGUGUGUGUGUGUGUGUGUG
Molecule: long non-coding RNA, 699 nt
Organism: Scylla paramamosain (green mud crab)
Lineage: Eukaryota; Metazoa; Arthropoda; Malacostraca; Decapoda; Portunidae
Exons: 3
Source: RefSeq, a predicted model, not a curated record